Molecule: ribosomal RNA, 433 nt
Filed under: uncultured bacterium
Lineage: Bacteria
Description: partial 16S ribosomal RNA
Rfam family: Bacterial small subunit ribosomal RNA
Source: RNAcentral
AACGAACGCUGGCGGCAUGCCUAACACAUGCAAGUCGAACGAGACCUUCGGGUCUAGUGGCGCACGGGUGCGUAACGCGUGGGAACCUGCCCUUAGGUUCGGAAUACCUCCCCGAAAGGGGUCCUAAUACCGGAUAAUGUCUUCGGACCAAAGAUUUAUCGCCUUUGGAUGGGCCCGCGUUGGAUUAGCUAGUUGGUAGGGUAAAAGCCUACCAAGGCGACGAUCCAUAGCUGGUCUGAGAGGAUGAUCAGCCACACUGGGACUGAGACACGGCCCAGACUCCUACGGGAGGCAGCAGUGGGGAAUAUUGGACAAUGGGCGAAAGCCUGAUCCAGCAAUGCCGCGUAAGUGAUGAAGGCCUUAGGGUUGUAAAGCUCUUUUACCCGGGAUGAUAAUGACAGUACCGGGAGAAUAAGCUCCGGCUAACUCCGUG